GACGAACGCUGGCGGCGUGCCUAAUACAUGCAAGUCGUGCGGACCUUUUAAAAGCUUGCUUUUAAAAGGUUAGCGGCGGACGGGUGAGUAACACGUGGGCAACCUGCCUGUAAGACCGGGAUAACGCCGGGAAACCGGGGCUAAUACCGGAUAGUUUUUUCCUCCGCAUGGAGGAAAAAGGAAAGGCGGCUUCGGCUGCCACUUACAGAUGGGCCCGCGGCGCAUUAGCUAGUUGGUGGGGUAAUGGCCCACCAAGGCAACGAUGCGUAGCCGACCUGAGAGGGUGAUCGGCCACAUUGGGACUGAGACACGGCCCAAACUCCUACGGGAGGCAGCAGUAGGGAAUCUUCCACAAUGGACGCAAGUCUGAUGGAGCAACGCCGCGUGAGUGAAGAAGGUUUUCGGAUCGUAAAGCUCUGUUGUUGGUGAAGAAGGAUAGAGGUAGUAACUGGCCUUUAUUUGACGGUAAUCAACCAGAAAGUCACGGCUAACUAC
RNAcentral lists this ribosomal RNA (495 nucleotides) under uncultured bacterium. RNAcentral's name for it is "bacterial SSU rRNA". It matches the Rfam family "Bacterial small subunit ribosomal RNA", at positions 28 to 504 of the family's 1533-position model. The record is from RNAcentral.